This 484-nucleotide ribosomal RNA is filed under the name Trebouxia jamesii. RNAcentral describes it as "eukaryotic LSU rRNA". It matches the Rfam family "Eukaryotic large subunit ribosomal RNA", at positions 698 to 1187 of the family's 3401-position model. The record is from RNAcentral. Lineage: Eukaryota; Viridiplantae; Chlorophyta; Trebouxiophyceae; Trebouxiales; Trebouxiaceae.
UUUUUUAACACCCAUGAGACGCAAGUAACCUGACUGGUGGGAUGGCUUAUGCCUGCACCAUCGACCGACCAUGAUCUUCUGUGAAAGGUUUGAGUACGAGCAUACCUGUUGGGACCCGAAAGAUGGUGAACUAUGCCUGAGCAGGGCGAAGCCAGAGGAAACUCUGGUGGAGGCUCGUAGAUGUGCUGACGUGCAAAUCGCUUUUCGGACUUGGGUAUAGGGGCGAAAGACUAAUCGAACCAUCUAGUAGCUGGUUCCCUCCGAAGUUUCCCCCAGGAUAGCUGGAGCUUGAUCAGUUUUAUCGGGUAAAGCGAAUGAUUAGAGGUACCGGGGAUGAAACAUCCUCGACCUAUUCUCAAACUUUAAAUAGGUAAGACGUCUGGGUUGCUUAAUUGAACCCAGGCAUUCAAUGAGAGCUCCAAGUGGGCCAUUUUUGGUAAGCAGAACUGGCGAUGCGGGAUGAACCGAAAGCUGAGAUAAGGCA